AUAUUUAAAAUUUAAUUACUUAUAAAAUACAAUUAAACUAAUAAAUUAAAAGUUAAAAUUUAAUUACUUAUAAAAUAAACUAAAAACUUAGAAAUAAAAAAUAGGCCCUAAACGGACGCCGAUGUUUGUUUGUCCCUGAAACGGGUGUCGAAAUUCGUCGACAGAUGUGCGACAUCCGGUUUAAGCCUGGACGUCUUCUUCCUCUUACCCACCCAGAAACAUCAACAACAACGAAACAAAAAAUCGUGCACAGUAGAAAUCAACACAAUCUUAAACCCUAUAUUACAUACAUUUUCAAAGGAAGCAGAAAUCAACACAAACUAUACCAUGCUGAACGAAAGAAACUAACGUCUCCUAGACAGCAGAAACGAAACUAUAACGAAACUACAAAACAACAACCACCACGCCGCGCUGUCGCACAUACCCGUCGCACCGCUGCACCGCCGAACCGCCAAACCGUUGCACACCAAAAGUUAAAAGCACAGGAAGAUGAGUGGGAAAGUUGGAAUUUUGGAAAAUGAAACUUGGAGCGUGGGGUGAGAAGAAUCAGAGAAGGGGAGGAGGUGGAGAGCCGUGGGGGAGAUGGGGCUGCCUUGAAAGGGAAAGUAAAAUCUGAAUGAAGUGGAAAGUUAAAUGUUAGGGUUAUUUAAUAAAUAGGGUUAAAAAAGUAAAAAAAAAAUAAUAAGAAAAGGUUAUUUUGGUGAUUAAAGAAAAAUAAAAAAAAAAUGGGGAGGUGUAGGUUUGAAAUGGGGAGGUUGAGAGAUCAAUGCCCAAAAUAGGUUAGGUUGAACUGACCUAUCACUUAAUAACGAAUUGACUUUUACAACCCGAUCUGUCAAUUUAUCGGAGUGCAUUAUCAAGCGGGUUGCCUAACUGGAGAGAGACUGCAUUUGAAUAAUUUAUCGCUUCUUAAAAUAUAACAUUAGUGUCUGCAUAUGAAUUUUCCAUUAAAU
This 953-nucleotide long non-coding RNA is filed under the name Vigna radiata. Its description in RNAcentral is "long non-coding RNA (VRAD_LNC001637)". The record is from RNAcentral. Lineage: Eukaryota; Viridiplantae; Streptophyta; Magnoliopsida; Fabales; Fabaceae.